GAUUUGUCAUCAUUAAUUAAUUUUUCAUAAUUAUAAAAUUUUAACUACUUAAAUUAAGUUUUUUGUAUAUUAAUCUUAAUCGAAUUUUUAAGAAAAGAAAAACUAAAAGAAAGUAAUCUUAAUACGUCUCAUAAAAAUAGUGAAAUUUUAGUAACACACAUUUCUAAAAUUCCUAAAUCCUUUUUGCUGACUAAGAGUUAUGUGUGAUAUACAGAUUAUCUUUUGAGACGCAUACCUCAGUUUAUUCUUUGUGAAUAUAGAUACAUACAUAUAUUAUAAAAAUUUGAUAAAAAUAUUUAUAUAAAAGUGAGUUUGAAAUUUUUUUUUUCACAAUGAACAUAGAAUUUUUAAUUCUUUGAUCACAAAUAUGUGUAUUAUUAUUAAAUAGUUUUACAAAUAUUUUAAGUGUAAUAAAAAAAAAAAAUCCAUCAUCAAUGAAGAAAGAAAAUAAAUAAGCAAAAAUUUUUGCAAAUGAAAAUGCAAAUAAUUCAAAAAAAAGUGAUAAUUUUACUUUUAUUUUUUUUCCCCACGUGUAAUUGGUGUCGUUGUAUUAAACUUGAAAAUAAUGAAAGAAAUAAAAUUGAUGAUAAAAAUUCAAAAAUAAUUGUUCAAAUAGAAAAAAAUAAUUUGAAUUUAGAAAAAGAAAUUUCCAAUAGUAAAAGAUUUGAUAAUAUUUUUGAGAAAGCAAUAUUAAGAAUAAUGACUGGUAAUUUAACUAAAAGCGAUUUGGAAUUAUUAAAAAGUUUAAAUUACAGUUCUAAAGAAAUUUUUGAUUUUCAAGAGCAAAAAAAUGAAAUGAGAAAAAAACAUUUAGAAAGAAGACAAAAAAUUAAAACACAUAGAAAUCAAAUUUUAAAUGAUUCUUUAACAUUUAUUACAAGAAGCUCAUCGAGAAUUUAUGAAAGUAAAGAAAAUGAAUUUGAAGAAUAUAAUAGACAAGCUGUUUAUGAUUAUGAAAAUAUGAUGGCCGAUAUUGAUGAAUCAGAAUUGGAAAUAUCAUCAUCGACAACAUUUCAAGAAAUUUAUCAAAAUGUAAAUAAAAUAAUGAAAUCACAAAUAACAUUUAAGUCGCUCAAUGAUUCUGAAUUUAAUUCAUUUUUCAAUGAAAAAACCCUCGUAAAUAAUAUAUCAAAAAUAAUUGAUAAUUAUCAAAAUUCGAAAAAUGUGAUAUUUUCAAAAGGAACAUGAAUUCAAUCAAGAAAAUAAUUAUUUAAAAGAACUUUUAUUUAAUAUGUUAACAAUGAUCAACAGAAAUUUUAAAAGUCCAUCUCAAAAUAUAUCAAAUUCGAAUUUAAUGGAUAAAAAAAUACGGAAAAGAAUUAAUUCCAAGGAUGAUGAUGAUGAUAACAAAUUUUAUUCCAAAAUAAUGGCUAAGGAAAUUAGUUAUAAUUAUUCCAAGGACGAAGAUGUGUCUUGAGUUUUGUUCUUUUUAAAAUAAUCUCAUUAGUUCAGAAAAAAACAUGUUAAGGUUUACUGGAUGCAUUUUCUGGCAUUGGAUUUACACUUAAACAAAUAUUGCUACGGAGAAUAUUGAAUAAUUUCAAGAUAAAAAAUAAAGUCAAAUACUUGGAAUGACUUUUUAUAUAAAUAAAAGAAGUAAAUCACUAUUUCAGGCCUCGGAUCGUCUUUAAGGCGCAAAAAAGUUUUUAAUUUUAUUUUGUAUAAGUCAAAAAAAAAAAAAAAAUUGCCUUUUAUUAAAAUAAGUCGGAAAAAUCUUAUAAUCCGAGGCCUCUUUUUCAUUUUCUCAACUAUUAUUAAAGUUUUGUGAAUUUAGUAUUUCUAAAAUUAUUAAUUAUACAUAUUUAUAUUACAGUUAUGUAAUAAUAUAUUAAAGAUAUUAAAA
Leptopilina boulardi is the source of this 1843-nucleotide long non-coding RNA. RefSeq lists it as uncharacterized. NCBI's taxonomy places the organism in Eukaryota, Metazoa, Arthropoda, Insecta, Hymenoptera, Figitidae. The record is from RefSeq and is a predicted model, not a curated record. The transcript has 3 exons.